CCCGAAAGAUCGAAUGAGGAGAUUCAUCGUCAGCGGUGCAGGCUUCCAUGUGGCUCGCGAUGAUAAGAAAUUUAUUUCAAAUUCACGUGUCCGCUGUGGUAUGUGUCCGGCAACGUCGGCGUGCACUUCUCCUCUAGUAGAACGUCGCGACCCGCUGGGUGUCGGUUUAAGGACCAAGGUCGUCGACUGUUCCGUCGCGUCUCGUGCGCGUUCGGUUACAGACGCUUGGAUUCCCGACCGGCUGCCCGGCGGUAUAACCGCCAAGGUAUCGAGCCGCACUUGAAUGCGUUCUUCGGACCCGUCACAAGCUCGACCCGCUUUGAAUGUACUUUUUCCGGAUGUGCGGACCUAGCGCCGUACCCGGGGUUGGUUGGCUGUUGGUAGACGGUGUCCUCGAACUGGCUAAACCUCGUUGUUAAUUUAACGAUACCGGUCAGCGACGCUAUUGCUUUGGGUACUUUCAGGA
RNAcentral lists this ribosomal RNA (466 nucleotides) under Gryonella sp. M183. Its description in RNAcentral is "eukaryotic LSU rRNA". Lineage: Eukaryota; Metazoa; Arthropoda; Insecta; Hymenoptera; Scelionidae. The record is from RNAcentral.